This 497-nucleotide ribosomal RNA is filed under the name uncultured bacterium. Its description in RNAcentral is "partial 16S ribosomal RNA". It matches the Rfam family "Bacterial small subunit ribosomal RNA", at positions 28 to 507 of the family's 1533-position model. The record is from RNAcentral.
GAUGAACGCUGGCGGCGUGCCUAAUACAUGCAAGUCGAGCGAACGGACGAGACGCUUGCUUUUCUGAUGUUAGCGGCGGACGGGUGAGUAACACGUGGAUAACCUACCUAUAAGACUGGGAUAACUUCGGGAAACCGGAGCUAACACCGGAUAAUAUUUUGAACCGCAUGGUUCAAAAGUGAAAGACGGUCUUGCUGUCACUUAUAGAUGGAUCCGCGCUGCAUUAGCUAGUUGGUAAGGUAACGGCUUACCAAGGCAACGAUGCAUAGCCGACCUGAGAGGGUGAUCGGUCACACUGGAACUGAGACACGGUCCAGACUCCUACGGGAGGCAGCAGUGGGGAAUCUUCGACAAUGGGCGAAAGCCUGACGGAGCAACGCCGCGUGUGUGAUGAAGGUCUUCGGAUCGUAAAACUCUGUUAUUAGGGAAGAACAUAUGUGAAAGUAACUGUGCACAUCUUGACGGUACCUAAUCAGAAAGCCACGGCUAACUACGUG